This 440-nucleotide ribosomal RNA is filed under the name uncultured bacterium. RNAcentral's name for it is "partial 16S ribosomal RNA". It matches the Rfam family "Bacterial small subunit ribosomal RNA", at positions 338 to 795 of the family's 1533-position model. The record is from RNAcentral.
CCUACGGGUGGCAGCAGUGAGGAAUAUUGCUCAAUGGGGGCAACUCUGAUCCAGCCACGCCGCGUGAGUGACGAAGGUUUUCGGCAUGUAAAGCUCUUUCUGUAGAGAAGAAAAUGACGGUACCUGACUAAGAAGCCGCGGCUAACUACGUGCCAGCAGCCGCGGUACUACGUAGGGGGCAAGCGUUAUUCGGAUUUACUGGGCGUAAAGGGAGUGUAGGCGGUUUAGUAAGGUAGGCGUGAAAGGCCAGGGCUCAACUCGGGAACUGCCUUUGAAACUGGCGGACUAGAGUGAAGGAGAGGUAAGCGGAAUGCCCAGGGUAGCGGUGAAAUGCGUAGAUAUUGGGAAGAACACCAGUGGCGAAGGCGGCUUACUGGAGGUGAACUGACGCUGAGGCUCGAAAGCGUGGGGAUCAAACAGGAUUAGAUACCCGAGUAGUC